RNAcentral lists this ribosomal RNA (253 nucleotides) under uncultured bacterium. Its description in RNAcentral is "partial 16S ribosomal RNA". It matches the Rfam family "Bacterial small subunit ribosomal RNA", at positions 524 to 776 of the family's 1533-position model. The record is from RNAcentral.
UACAGAGGUCUCGAGCGUUAGGCGGAAUCACUGGGCUUAAAGCGUGUGUAGGUGGAUUGGUAAGUACCUUGUGAAAUCCCACGGCUUAACCGUGGAACUGCUUGGUAUACUGCCAGUCUUGAGUCAGCUAGGGGCUACCGGAACAAAUGGUGGAGCGGUGAAAUGCGUAGAUAUCAUUUGGAACGCCAAUGGUGAAAACAGGUAGCUGGGGAUGUGCUGACACUGAGACACGAAAGCCAGGGGAGCAAACGGG